This 619-nucleotide small RNA is filed under the name Pan troglodytes (chimpanzee). RNAcentral's name for it is "processed transcript". Lineage: Eukaryota; Metazoa; Chordata; Mammalia; Primates; Hominidae. The record is from RNAcentral.
AGAAAAAGGGAGAACCAAGAGAGUGGAUGCUCAGAAAACAUGAAUGGGAAAGAUAGACUGAGAAGGAGGAAAGUGGGAUGGAGAGGGCCAGCUGAGACGUGGGCCAGGGGCCGGAGCGGGGAUGAAGGCCCGUGGAAGCCACCGAUGAUGCCUUUUGGGACCAGUUCUGGGCAGACACAGCCACCUCGGUGCAGGAUGUGUUUGCACUGGUGCCGGCAGCAGAGAUCCGGGCCGUGCGGGAAGAGUCACCCUCCAACUUGGCCACCCUGUGCUACAAGGCCGUUGAGAAGCUGGUGCAGGGAGCUGAGAGUGGCUGCCACUCGGAGAAGGAGAAGCAGAUCGUCCUGAACUGCAGCCGGCUGCUCACCCGCGUGCUGCCCUACAUCUUUGAGGACCCCGACUGGAGGGGCUUCUUCUGGUCCACAGUGCCCGGGGCAGGGCGAGGAGGGCAGGGAGAAGAGGAUGAUGAGCAUGCCAGGCCCCUGGCCGAGUCCCUGCUCCUGGCCAUUGCUGACCUGCUCUUCUGCCCGGACUUCACGGUACAGAGCCACCGGAGGAGCACUGUGGACUCGGCGGAGGACGUUCACUCCCUGGACAGCUGUGAAUACAUCUGGGAGGC